UACGGAGGAUCCAAGCGUUAUCCGGAAUUACUGGGCGUAAAGAGUUGCGUAGGUGGCAUAGUAAGUCAGUAGUGAAAGCGUCCGGCUCAACCGGAUAUACAUUACUGAAACUGCUGAGCUAGAGGAUGAGAGAGGUUAUUGGAAUUCCUAGUGUAGGAGUGAAAUCCGUAGAUAUUAGGAGGAACACCGAUGGCGUAGGCAGAUAACUGGCUCGUUCCUGACACUAAGGCACGAAAGCGUGGGGAGCAAACGGG
RNAcentral lists this ribosomal RNA (254 nucleotides) under uncultured bacterium. RNAcentral describes it as "partial 16S ribosomal RNA". It matches the Rfam family "Bacterial small subunit ribosomal RNA", at positions 524 to 776 of the family's 1533-position model. The record is from RNAcentral.